RNAcentral lists this long non-coding RNA (354 nucleotides) under Mytilus galloprovincialis (Mediterranean mussel). Lineage: Eukaryota; Metazoa; Mollusca; Bivalvia; Mytilida; Mytilidae. The record is from RNAcentral.
UCAAUAGUUAAUUAAGUCCAAUAUGCGGAUUUUCGGGUGUUUUUAGGUAGGAAAAACAGGGAAUCCCCCCAGAAGGACAUUUCAAACCAAAAAAAAGUUAUGCUUUUUAUGACUGUUGUUAUUCAUACUACUUUUUCCCUCAAAAAUGAAAUUGGUUUAGUGUGUCCUUAUUACAUAAAAUACAACUUUUUAAAGAAAAAAUUGUAACAUCGAUAAAUUGUACCGAUAUAGCUUCUUAAUAAGAGAUAUAUGUAUAAGCAUCGCCGUAGCUCCAUCAGUAAAGCACAGAACUACUAAUAAAUGAUGGUUUUGAAGAAAGGGUUCGAAUCUCGCUCAGAAUAUGUGCAUUUUUUG